Molecule: long non-coding RNA, 2023 nt
Filed under: Helianthus annuus (common sunflower)
Lineage: Eukaryota; Viridiplantae; Streptophyta; Magnoliopsida; Asterales; Asteraceae
Description: hypothetical non coding rna
Source: RNAcentral
GAACCCUUCCUUCUUUCAUUUCGCCAUUUCUCUCUCUCUCAAUUCCUAUUUUAUUUAUUUAUUUUUUUUAUUUUCACUAAAAUAAUAAUAAUACCAUACCCUGUUUUAAGUAUUGUAACUCCCGAUCAUCGCUACCCUUUCCGAUUGAUCUGAGUCCCAUAACGCAUGUCAAGGCUCUGCCCGACUAAGUUCGUUUGGAUUCUAUCUCGGAACAUCGGGACAAGGUUGAUUUAGGGGUACUAUAUAUUUAACACAAGUGCAAUAUAUAUUUUUUAAUAGCCCAAAAGUUAUACCCAAAAUUUAUACCAUGAGUCCUUUUAGUUGAACCCUAAAAGUUACCCAGUAGGUCUAUUUCUUUUCUCACCAUUUUAUUCUCUUUUUGUAAAGUUACCCAAAAACUAUUAUUUAUUAUUUAUUAUUUCUAUUUUAUAAACAAACUUUCAUCAAAAGUCAUGCCUAUUAUUUUAUUUACCCAAUAGGGAACCAUAGUUGAGACACCCAAGUAAUCCUGCACAACUCCUAAAAUUUUCAUAGCAAUCAGAAUCAGGAUCAGGGCCCCUAAAACUCAAGGGGGGCAAAACCUAGUUGACGAUUAUCUUCAUAACUCAUUAUAAAAUUCGAAAUUUACAAAACCGACGACACAGCAAGCCUACAUGCACGAAGGGCUACUCUAUGAAAAUAGGGUGGUCACUCGCGUAGCGCGACGCCUAAGGGGGUACCCCCUCGCGCUACGCGACGGUAUCAAAAUUUCAGUAUAAAUAGCAGGGGUUGGGACUUGAAUUUUGGCACUUGAACGACGAAAAUCGGAGUUACGUAGGUCGAGUUAUAAGCAAAACAGUCCAACACACACACACAAUUAUCAAAUCGCUGCCGCAAAACAGGGUAAUUAGUCGAUCGCUAUUACGAUUCAGUUUCCGGGAUCAAUAUACCCAAAGAAUGUCUAAGUGCCGCCCACAUUGGGCUAUGCUUUAUCGUUGUCGAUAAUUCGAUAACGAGCCGAAGCAUUGUACUUUGUCGUUGUCGAUAAUUCGAUAUACGAGUUGAAGUACUAUACUUUGUCGUUUGUCAAUUUGAUAAAUGAGCUGAAGUAUUGCACUUGGACAUUCAUUGUAAAAAUUGAUCUUGGGGGAUUAUCGUAACUGCUGUAUUGAUCAUUAACCUGGUUCUUGUAAAAUUCGUUAAGAAUUGAUUUAGGUUUUACACCAAUACGUAUUCCAUUCCGUUAAACCACCCAAAAAUACUCCCAACUACACCCUUACAAUCAAACAAACUAUAAAAUCAUCAGAAGAUCCAGAAUAAUAAAGUGCAUGCUUAAUUAUCGAAAGAAAUAGAAUCAAGAAAUUGUCAACUCAAUCCUGCAUGCUGAAUUGUAAUUACAAUAGAUUGGAGUAAGGAUUGGAUCCGACACUGAAGGACUUCAAGAAGUGGCUUAUUUUCAAAUUAAGAAAUAUUAUUUUUAUUAAAAGCUACCUUUGUAAAACUUGGAAUUUAUUUCCAUCCAUUUAAAUAAAAUCCGGUGUUUCUAAACUCUGAUAUUUUUCCUAACUCACGGUCCUGAUGAAAUUUCCGCUGCAAUGUUUUUCAAAAUAAUCACCGGUAUCACUGGACUGCUCACGACACCGAUUCCGGCUAGAUGGGGUCGGGGGUCGUGACAGUUUACCAUGAUAUUCACAUGUUUGUAACGUGUUAACUUAUGUGAUACAUACGUGCAUUACUUGAAGUCAAAUCCUGACUUGUGUGGUAACCCUGUUAGGACGUGGUUGACCACUUUAGUUCAAGAACCCUCUCUUUUGUGUAUCUGCCGAGCAAACCAAGGACCGUAGGUACUUAAGGAGCUUGCACAAGGAGGAGCAGGUCGUUGUGGGCAAAGGAUCAUGAAUGCUAUUUGAACACUUAUGAUAUUUCAUACAUUAACACUUAUGUUUGGGUUUAUACAUUAAUGCUUCCGCUAUACUUAACUAUGUUGGUUUUGAUAAACACCUUUCGUAUUGAUGGAUAACUUUUACUAUAUAUAAUUACAUGU